GGAUCGGGUAGGCUGCGUGUGGGCUCUGGGAGACUGAGAAGGACCCCAGUGUCUGGGGUACUUCACUGUGCUGGGUGGCUGAGGAGCAAUGAAAUCAAGCGGCCAGGGCCCAAGGAGAGGGUAGCUCCAGGGGCUGCUGAGGGGAUCGGGAGGAAGGGCUGAGAGACGGGGUCAGAGCAGAUGGUCACCAGGCCGCACGGAGCCCUGGCGGAGACCCUCUGCCGCUGCCUGGCAGCACAUUCAGGCUCAGAGCCCAAGUGGAAGAAGGAAUGUGGGUGCACUCAGCACAGGCGCAUCGAUUUGGGGGUGGUUGGGGUGCCUCUAAUUCUCUGUCCCAAAUGGCCUCACCUCAGGGAGGGGUCAUGGCUGUGCCUUCAGCAUCUGAUGGGCGUUUCCAGCCUGCCUGGGUGGCCCAGGGGCCAGAGAGUUUGACAGGUUCUCUGGGGAUGGAUUGCUUUUGGUUUCUCAGAGGCAGGACUCUGGUCGGAAUCUUGGCCUCACAACUGCCAAGCCCCGCCCCCCACCCAGGUCACUGUCCUGCGGCAAAGGGGCUGAUGGUCAGGAAUGGAGCGCCUAACAGUGGUGCUGGCUCCUCUGGGCGACUGUGCAAAUCGCCAGGCUUUGUGCUUCAAGACCCUCCCCCAAAUUCCCUCUCUCUUUCCUUUGGGGCCUCGUUUUCCUGUCCCCAAGCCCUGUUUCAGGGAGCAGACUUAAAGGUGGUUCUCGGGAAUUAAAGUAGGGUAAUCGAUUGAAAGGAUGCUCUCAUGGCACAUGUGGGUGGAGAAAACAGAGGGUUGAAGGCAUUACGUUGUGGUGGGGGGUGCGUGCUGGGAGUCUUUGAGAGAAUUCACCCCUCUCUCUGGGCACUUCACUUGGCUUAGAAGGUGAGGAGGAAUUCUAUCAAGCUGGCAGCUGCCCAAGGCCAGGAGAGCCCUGGGGGGCUGCUGAGGGAAACCGGAGGAAAGGCUGAGAGUCAGUGUUAGAGGAGACGGCCUCCGGAAGGGGCCAGAGCACAGACAAAGCCCAUCUGAAGCCCCCUGGCUGCACCUCUAGGCUACGAGGUGGUGCCAAGAGGGGUUAGUGGGAGCCCCAGGAUGUGUUAAGAUGGCUCACAGGGCACCACUGACUCUCUGGCACCAAUCGACUGACCUCAGGGAGCAGAAAGACAUUGCUUUCUGCAUCUGAUGGGUAGUUCCAUCCGGCUCUGGCUGCCCAGGGGCCAGAGAGGUGGACAUGUUCUCUGGGGUUGGUUUGCUCUUAGUUUCUCAGGGGGCAGGGACACUGGACCCACAAUAUCUGCUUGAAUCUUGGCCUCGCAAUUACCAAUCCUGCAGCUUCUGUAAAGUCAUCACAUGUCCAACGGGGCUGGUGGUCAUGAAUGGAGCUUGUGAAAGUGGUGCUAUUUUGAGGGGGCAGACAGGAACCCCUGUGCUUUAUCUUUCAGGAGUUCUCCCCGGAUUCUUUCUUCCCCUUCCAUCUGAACCUCUAUGUCCUGUCUGCAAUCGCUGUUUCAAGGAGCAGAACUAAGGGAAGGGCCUGAGAGGGAAGGCAGCUGGGACUGAUUUAAAGAAGCGCCCAGAAACACGCUACGGGCUGGGGUGUGACAAUCUCAGAGCCGGAACUCACCCCACACCCUGAAAUCAACAACCCCACUUGGUAAGUCCUGUGAGCAGCCCCUGAUCAGUCAGCACCCUUCAACCCUGGGACCCAGCAUGAACCCAAGGACCAUGCAGCCUUUGUAAAAGUUACCUGGUUUUAGGUAACCUCCCUGCAGCAGGUGUCUGGUGGAGGAGGGAGAGGAUCAGAUGGAAGAAAUAGAAAGAAAUUUCAAGAGACCAGAGACAAUUUUCAGGAAAUGGGCAACCUUCCCACCAAGGAACCUCUGCUUUUCCAUUCUCCAUUCAUGACCACCCACCCAGCUUUCCAGAUGCCAAACAUGGUGCAGGCAUGAUCCUGGAGCACUGCAUGCCCAGUAGCCAAGCCAACUACAUCUGUGUUCAGUUUUCUGCCUCUGCAGAAUCCAAAGGCAGUCACCACUCUUGCCAGCCUGCCCAAGUGUCUGGACUUUAGGCCACCUGAGCUGUCUGAGAGCGC
Molecule: long non-coding RNA, 2094 nt
Filed under: Sus scrofa (pig)
Lineage: Eukaryota; Metazoa; Chordata; Mammalia; Artiodactyla; Suidae
Source: RNAcentral